GAGAAAAUUUUGUGAUUACUUUUUUAUUACACCUACAGCUACAGGAAAAUAUCAUGACAAUGCAAAAUACCUUUGCUCAAUUCACAACCACAGGACAUACAAGAGUCAUUCAAAAGCUAAUGGAGGUAUUAUUGUCAAGUUUAAAAAGAGGUGGGAAAAUAUAUAUAAUGCUCAACUUAGAAUAUUGAUUUUCUUGUUCCACAUAAAAUUUAAAGUAAUAUCAAAUUUCAAGAAUCUGGUUUGGUUGGCAGUGCUUGAUAAUCCCCUAACAACAAUUAUAUGCCAAGAUUUCAAAAAUUUAAGUACCAGAGCAAAUAAAUUCUAGAUUAGAGUUAUUUAAUAUUACAUGGUUUCACCAACAAAUCCACCAUCUGUGAAGAGUUCCUUAUCCAUGAUUCUGAAUUUUAGAUGGGUCACGUGUUUCCAAUCAAUUAGCAGAAACUCAAACAUGAAUUUCUCAUUCCACCAUGCCUCUUCAUCUUUAACUGCAUGAUAGAAACUCAGGGCACUAGGCUGCUUCAAUAAACUAGUAACAUUGCUAUAGGAGUUAUUUGAAAAUAAAUUAAAAACCAAAAACUGGAGUGUAAACCUGAUGAUACUUUGCUUUCAUGUACUUUAUUUCCACAUUUUGUGAUGACAUAAUAAACUGGUGUUCCUCUCAUGAUUAUUAGGGAAUAGGAAAUAUAAUGAUUAAUUUGCUUCCAUUAUGUUGCGUUCUGUUUCCUUCGUAGAUUCCUUCUCGUCCAUAAACUUUUUAAGCCUUUCCACAUCUUUCCAUCUACCCCCCUCCGCAUACAAGUCUAAUAAAGUCUCAUAACAGCUAGUGUUUUCUGGGUCUAGGGCACUGAGCUGUUGGACGACAAACUCUGCCACCUCAAUUGACCCAUCUUGUUUUGAUCUACAACCAGCAAGAAGAGCUCCCCAGAUUCUUUUAUCAGGCACCACUGGCAUUUCCUUUACAAAUUUAAGAGCUUCUUCAAUAUUGCCUUGGCGACUUAGCAAGUCCACCAUGCAAGCAUAGUGUGCAAGUUUUGGAGUGAUUCCAUGCUUUUCUUGCAUAGAAUAAAACCACUUACAACCUUCAUUUUCUAGCCCACAUUGACUACAAGUAGAUAAAACAGAAAGGAAAACAGUAUCAUUGGGCUUGACCCCACAAUUCAACAUGUUGGAGAAUGUUUCAAGAGCCUCAAAACCACAUCCAUUUAACCCAUAUCCCUUAAUCAUUGAACUCCAACAUAUUACAUCUUUGGUGGAAAUUUCAUCAAAAAGAGCCUUCCCCUGCUUUAUCCUUCCAAGUUUGCAGUAUAAAUCAAUCAAGCAGGAUUUCAAAUAAACAUUGGAUGAGUAACCUGCUUUAGUUACAAAUCCAUGGAUGCUUUCCCCAAGCUCUUGAGCACCCAGUGCAGUACACGCUUGUAAUACACCAACAAAUGUAACCUCAUUAGGCUUCUCAUUUAUGGAUUGCAUUUGUUUAAAUGCACUUAAGGCAUCAUGAGGUUGCCCUCCUCGAGUAUAUACUGAGAUUAUUGCACUCCAUGCAAUAAGAUCUUUAUGAGUCAGCUGAUCAAAUACCAUCCUAGCUGAACCAAACUUGCCAUACUUACCAUACAUUUGAAGAAGUGAGGUGCCGACUGAAAUAAAAGCCAAGAAUCCAUUUUUCUCUAUAUAGGCGUGAAGUCCCACUCCAAAUUUAAGCUCAUUUGCUUGUAAUGAUGCCAAAAUUGUAUCCCUGAUAAUGAUUUCAUCUGGUUCAAUGCUAGAACAUUGCAUCUUCAAGAAAAUAUUCAAUCCUUCUCUAGGAUAUUGAUUCUCAAUACACACGCAAAUUAUAGUCCUCCAUGAGACCAAAUCCUUCUCCCAUAUUCCAUUGAAAAGUGAAAAAGAAGCUUCCAAUUCCCCACUUUUUGCGUAGACGUUCAUAAGUGAGUUUUGAACAUUUGUAAAAGAAUAAAAUAUCCUUUUUAUUGAAAACCCAUGAAUCUGAUUCACGAAACAUAACCCACCAAGAUGAGCACCAGCAGGCAAAACACUAAUAACAGUCACGUGAUUAGCUUCUACACCAUAAUAAAGCAUUCUCCUAAAAUAAUGAAUGGCCUCCCUAUACUUCUCAUUCUUAACGCAGGCCGAAACCAUUGCGCUCCACAAUAUCACAUCCUUAUACAAUAAAUGAUCAAAUAACUUCCACGCUAUUCCAAUAUCAAACAUGGAAUAAAAGCCAAGAAGAGCUGUCACGACUGGAGCUUCUAGUUCAAACCCCAAUUUAAUCACAUAAGCAUGUGCUACCCGUAUCAUGUCUUGGCAACUGAAUGCACCAAAGGCGCAUAUUAAGCUCACCAGCGUCACAAAAUUUGGCCUUUGGUCACUCAAUAGCAUAGUUUUAAACAAUCCAAUUGCCCGUUCAGGCUGCUUUUCGCUAACCAGCUUGGAAAUUUUAGAUGUCCAGGAGAUUACGUUGCCUUUUUUGUGAUGAAACUCGGUCGAGUCUUCAUAGCCUGUAUAUUCAUGGAGAGUAGAAGUGUAAUACAAACGAUAUAUGGAGUUUCUUACGUGUGAAUUUCGUUUGGUGAUUUCAUCGAACAGUUUGUGCGCAUUUUUUAGAAGAUAACACAUAAUAAUUCGAUAGGCUUAGCGUGAAGUGAAAGGCAGAUACUUGAAACUUUCGGAGGGCUUUUAGUUUGAUCAUGAAAGAGGCUUGUGGUUUUUAGGUCGUGAGAGGGCGAGCGAUAGAGAGAGAGAGGAUUCCCUCUGUAAUUCAAAAAAACCGUUUUAUGUGAAAAGAAAGUGAGACAACGAUGAAAAAUAGACGUUGAGGAAUCAAUGACGCCGUGUAAAGUGAAC
This 2838-nucleotide unclassified non-coding RNA is filed under the name Hevea brasiliensis (rubber tree). The record is from RNAcentral. Lineage: Eukaryota; Viridiplantae; Streptophyta; Magnoliopsida; Malpighiales; Euphorbiaceae.